RNAcentral lists this ribosomal RNA (320 nucleotides) under uncultured eukaryote. RNAcentral's name for it is "partial 18S ribosomal RNA". It matches the Rfam family "Eukaryotic small subunit ribosomal RNA", at positions 1470 to 1796 of the family's 1831-position model. The record is from RNAcentral.
CCCUUAGAUGUUCUGGGCUGCACGCGCGCUACACUGAAGCGUUCAACGAGUAUUCACCUUGCCCGGGAGGGUUGGGUAAUCUUUUGAAAACGCUUCGUGAUGGGGAUAGAUUAUUGCAAUUAUUAAUCUUCAACGAGGAAUUCCUAGUAAGCGCGAGUCAUCAGCUCGUGCUGAUUACGUCCCUGCCCUUUGUACACACCGCCCGUCGCUCCUACCGAUUUCGAGUGGUCCGGUGAAGCUUUUGGACUGCGCGUGGCUUCGUGCCGUGUCGCGGAAAGUCAGCUAAACCUUAUCACUUAGAGGAAGUAAAAGUCGUAACA